UGGAAUGUGAAGAUUUUUGUUCUCUUGUAUUAAGUAGCAAAAGUUUUAUUUGGGGAUAAUGAUUUGCAAAGAAAGAGGUUUUUUUUUUAUUUUUUAAGAAAGUCUUAUGAGUUUAAUUUACUUUGAUGAUUGGCUAAAAAACCCACCAUACUGAUACGUUUUUUAUGAGAAGAGGCUGAAAAUGACUAUUUCCAACCUUGUAACCUUACAGUUUUUGGCAUUGUAUCUCCAGGAAUGGGGAAUAUGUGAGACAGCCCCAAGGUUUUAAUCUAGAAGAGUUUACAAACAAAAUACAUGCUCACUGAUUUUGGGUGGCCUCAGAAAAACGUUCUUUCUCCCUUUACCCUUUUUGUGAUAUUGAUGUAAAUAUUUGUAAAGUCUUUGUUAACUUAAUGAAGCGUUGUGCCUAAAAUAGAAGUAAAGUGAAUGACAUAGGAACUCUUACUCUUUUUUUCAUUGCUUUUUUUGGAUACUUAUGUGCUUUAAACACUGAGUAAACAUUCAGCUAAUAGUUACAGAAUCCUUGCCCUCAUUGAUCUUAUGCUGCAGAAUGAGGACAAGUAAAUAGGCAUCAUCUGUAAUAUAAUGAGGGUAAAUGCUGAAUGCUGUGAAAUUUCAUACAGGGGGAAUCCCUUAUCUGUGAGGGAGGCAUGGAAUGGGACUGGAGAAGCAAUUAGCUUUAGUAAGGGAUUUGGGGAAGGACCUUCCAGAGGGAGCAAUAAAUACAAAGGUUAGGAGGUAAACUCUGAAGAGAUUGUUGAGUGAAGAGGAUGCUCUUUCAGAAGUGUCCAGAGAGAUGUCUGAAGGGGUCUAAUAAUAAAGGCUUUCAGUGCCACAUGCAGAAAUUAGCUUUUGAGAGCAAAGAGAAUGCCAUUGAAAGAUUUUAAUUUGGAGUGGAAAUAGAGUGGAUGGAUUGAAGAUACAUUUUGUGAUUAGAACUGACCUAUAUUGUUGAUGAAUCAAACAGAAACGGGAGAAUCAAGAGUGAUUCCUAGACUUGGGUCAUGAUUGUCUAGGCCAAUCUAAAUAUAUAAAUAAAAUGCAAACCAAAUAUGUAAUUUUAUAGUAGCCACAUUUAAAAACUAAAAGAACCAAAAAUAAAUUAAAAAUAAUUUUUUAAAGUUUCCUGGUGGCUCAGUGAGUUAAGGAUCUGAAGUUGUCACUGCCGUGGCAUGGGUUUGAUUCCUGACCUGGAAAUUUCUGCAUACAGCAAGCGCAGCCAAGAAGAAAAGGAAAGAGAGAGGAAAAGUAAUUUUUUUAUUUAACCCAAUAUGUCCAAAGUAGUAUUUUAUAUGUGAUUGAUAUUAAAAGUAUUAAAUAUUUUUAAAUGUUUUGUAUUCUUUUCUCAUUACUAAGUAAGUGUUCAAAAUUUGGUGUGUCUUUUACAUUUAUAGUGUAUCUCAAUCAUUCAAAAUUUAUAAAAUUUACAAUUGAAAAAAUUGGUUAUAAUCCCAGGUCAUUCCAAAUAUAUUUUAAGUUUUGCAGUAAUUGAAUUAUGUGUCUGUUUGUUUGUUCUGGGUCACAUCCCCAGGCGAAUGGAAGUUCUCAGGCUAGGGAUCUGAAUCAAGCAUCCAGCAUCCAGCUGUGGCAAUGCUGGAUGCUUAACCCACUGCACCACAUCAGGAACUCCCAAGAUUUUUUUUUAAAGUUCAUAGUAAAAUUUCAGUUCCUAAAUUAGCUGCAUUUCACAUGCUCAGUUGCCACUUGUGGCUAGUUAUUGCUAUGCGGAACAGUGCAAGUCUGCUGGAUUAAAGAAUGGUGGAAAAUAAGACCAAAAAGUUGUGGGACCAGUCUUUGAUGCCAUAUUAAAGAAUUGGGAUCUUACUCUAGAGACAAGACCAUUGGGUGGUUUUUAAUUUAGAAAGUGACACUAAGUUGUCACUAGGUGGCCAACUAAUGACUUGGGAUCAAGAGCAACCCCUCAGUUGACUCCCCAAGUUCCAGGCCCUGACCUCAGCCCUUCAGAUUCAGAAGUCUGAUUUUUGUCAGUGCUCUAGAGCAAUGCCACUAAAAGUAUGGGCCAGAGGCCACUGCCAGUCUGAAAACACUGUUACUGGUCCAAGACAAGGCAUUUACAGAAAUGAGAGUAAGAAUUUAGAAACUUUGUAACAAUUAGUUACACUAAUUUUAUGUCUUUGGUUCUAAUAAAUAUUGGGGCCUUGUACUGUUGUAUAUGUAUUCAUAUAUAUUUUAUGGAAGUGCCCAAUCUGGAGUUCCUGUCGUGGCACAGUGGUUAACGAAUCUGACUGGGAACCAUGAGAUUGCGGGUUCGAACCCUGCCCUUGCUGAGUGGGUUAAGGAUCCAGUGUUGCCGUGAGCUGUGGUUUAGGUCGAAGACGUGGCUCGGAUCCCACAUUGCUGUGGCUCUGGCAUAGGCCGGUAGCUACAGCUCCGAUUCGACCCCUAGCCUGGGAACCUCCAUAUGCCGUGGGAGCUGCCCUAGAAAAGGCAAAAAGACGAAAAAAAAAAAAAAAAAA
RNAcentral lists this long non-coding RNA (2477 nucleotides) under Sus scrofa (pig). RNAcentral's name for it is "lncRNA (ENSSSCG00050021809.1)". Lineage: Eukaryota; Metazoa; Chordata; Mammalia; Artiodactyla; Suidae. The record is from RNAcentral.